Salarias fasciatus (jewelled blenny) is the source of this 1512-nucleotide long non-coding RNA. RefSeq lists it as uncharacterized. The transcript has 4 exons. Lineage: Eukaryota; Metazoa; Chordata; Actinopteri; Blenniiformes; Blenniidae. The record is from RefSeq and is a predicted model, not a curated record.
CCACGCCAGUAAAAUGACCCUUCAGUCUCGUCGGGCUGCAGGAAGAGGACAGUCUGCUGCGACAUGGAGGCAGACGCACCAACAGGGAACUGAACCUGAACCCACAAACGGACUCUGCUGACAUGGAUACGACCGUUGCCAUCUUCGCCUGGUGCCUUCUGGCUCUUUCUCCUCUGGCACAAACAGGAAAUAACACUUCAACUGUUCCACCGCCAACAUCUCCUUUCAACCUGACAGAUGUGACAACAACCUCACCUAACUCUACAGUAAAUGCAACCGCUGCUUCAUUUCCGACUGAGGGCUCGACGCAGUCUGCCGACACGAGCCCGGCUCCGGCCGCCGGCAGCACGGAAAGCUCAACUGAGAGCACGAGUUACUCUGAGAUUCCUCAGUCAUCCACCAGCUUGUCUAAUGUGACAAACUCAACAACUACCGCUGAAUCGUCACGGCUGAAUUUAACAACAGCAGACGCAAACCAGACCACCGUCAUCCAGACAACCACAUCUGCUGCUUCACAUUCAUCUCAAACUGUCGCCACGACUUCAGUUUCAGAGAACAAAACCACACAAGGUUUAGGGUUGAAUCCCUCCGAAAAGAGAAUGACAAUCGUCUUCAGCGUUGUUCUGGGAACGGUUGUUGCGAUUAUGAUGAUCAUGUUGACGUUCCACAAAUGCAAACACAAAAUCCAGUACUUGCAUCAACCCCUUAGCAAUGCGGACAACUCAGAUGGGUUUUCGGUGGACGGUGACACUCUUGUGAUUUCCGGAGGACUUUAUGACGGCCAUCCCAUCUAUGAUAAUGUACCACCGCCCUCUGAAGACCAGUCUCAAUUCCGACUUGAGUUUCUCCAUUAAACAAAAUCCCUGCAGUUCGAAGUAUCUUGUUUGCUGCUUGACAAAAACAAUGUUCAUCAAAAACUACACUUUUACAGAGAUGGAUUGAGCGGUCAUGGACACAAGCUUCAAAUAUCUAAAACUGGGUAAAUUGAAUAUUGUUUUCACCUCUACUGCAUCACUGUCAAUACAAGGACACUUUAGUAACAACAACACCUUCUCCAACACCAACAACACAAACUUGAACAAAAAUUAAAAGCUGGAGAAAUCAACAGUAACCCAGAAAACAUCUUCUACACUGUAACAAAGAGUUUGAAAUUAUCUUUUACAUCUGUGGACAAAGACACAAAAAAGUUAAACAAUAACACUGAACUUUUUGUACUAUUCAUUCCAGUCUAUUUGGUCAUAAAAAUAUAAUCUACGCAUGUUAAACUCUCAGGGCUAUCAAUGUAAACUUGUUUAAUUUUAGUAUUGUGAAUCGUGUAUGUAUAUGCAAUAGAGCUGCUCAAGCAAAGAUCUUCUCACUGGUCUUUUGUUGUCCGAGCUUUUAACAGCAGUCCAACCCUCAGCUCUCAAUGUUUUCAUUGCAGCCAGAUUUAAGAAAGAUUAAGAUUCUUCAUAAUUCACUAUUAGCAUGACCCUGAAUCUAAAGGAAAGCAUGUUUUAAAGAAGUGGCAAG